GCCAAAAAUCUAGCCCCAACUUUCUAUAACACCUCACCCAACAUCUAACCUCAACAAACUAAAACAUUUUUACAAUUUAGUACAGGAGAUCAAAAAAUUAUUUGGCGCUACACAAGUCGUACCGUAAGGGAAAGAUGAAAUAAAAAUGAAAUAUACGCUAAAGCACAAAAAAGCAGAGACUUACACUCGUACCUUUUGCAUCAUGGUUUAACUAGUCUAAUCAAGCAAAAUGAAUUUUAGUUUGCCUCCCCGAAACUAAACGAGCUACUUCGAGGCAGCCUCAUGGGCGAACCCAUCUCUGUCGCAAAAGGGUGGGAAGACCUCCAAGUAGGGGUGACAGACCAAACGAGUUUAGUAAUAGCUGGUUAUCCAAUAAAAGGAUAUUAGUCCAACCUAAAGCUUCCCUUAUGCCCCCCAACAAGAUCCUCCGCUUUAGAGUUAUUCAAAUAAGGUACAGCCUAUUUGAAACAGGAUACAACCUACACUAAUGGGUAAUUUUUUACCUGCGCAUUUAAGUAGGCCUAAAAGCAGCCAUCUUUUUAAAAGCGUCAAAGCUUAUAUGCCACAUUAUAUAAUACCACAACUAACUUAGAACCCUUUACUACCACUGGAUAAUUCUAUAUCACUAUAGAAUCUAUUAUGUUAAAACUAGUAACAAGAAAUCCACCCUUCUCUUAAAUGCAAGCAUACGUCAGAAAGGCUCAACCACUGAUUGUUAACAUACUUGUAAACUAAGUAGCAACGCUACAAGAAAAUUCUACUUACUCAUAUGUUAUCCUAACACAAGAGCAUUUCAAGAAAGAUUAAAAGAAAAAGAAGGAACUCGGCAAAUACCAGCCUCGCCUGUUUACCAAAAACAUCGCCUCUUGAAAACANAUAAGAGGUCCAGCCUGCCCAGUGACUCAAUUCAACGGCCGCGGUAUCCUAACCGUGCGAAGGUAGCGUAAUCACUUGUUCUUUAAAUAAGGACUAGUAUGAACGGCAUCACGAAGGCUGUACUGUCUCCUUUUUCUAAUCAGUGAAACUAAUCUUCCCGUGAAGAAGCGGGAAUGAAAAUAUAAGACGAGAAGACCCUAUGGAGCUUCAAACAAACUAACACUUGCUACUAAUAAAAAAUUUUCCAGAAAAUUAACAUUAAGUAAACCACUAUGAUUACGAGUUUUCGGUUGGGGUGACCACGGAGUAUAAACCAACCUCCGAGUGGAACGGGAUUUAACCCUGAGCUAAAAGCCUCGACUUUAAGCACCAACAAAUUGACCUCCAUUGACCCAAUAUUUUGACCAACGAACCAAGUUACCCUAGGGAUAACAGCGCAAUCUACUUCAAGAGCCCCUAUCGACAAGUGGGUUUACGACCUCGAUGUUGGAUCAGGGUAUCCCAGUGGUGCAGCCGCUACUAAUGGUUCGUUUGUUCAACGAUUAAAACCCU
This 1428-nucleotide ribosomal RNA is filed under the name Hyloscirtus condor. RNAcentral describes it as "partial 16S ribosomal RNA". It matches the Rfam family "Bacterial large subunit ribosomal RNA", at positions 410 to 2597 of the family's 2925-position model. The record is from RNAcentral. Lineage: Eukaryota; Metazoa; Chordata; Amphibia; Anura; Hylidae.